RNAcentral lists this ribosomal RNA (211 nucleotides) under Leptomastidea sp. D1029. Its description in RNAcentral is "partial 28S ribosomal RNA". It matches the Rfam family "Eukaryotic large subunit ribosomal RNA", at positions 967 to 1163 of the family's 3401-position model. The record is from RNAcentral. Lineage: Eukaryota; Metazoa; Arthropoda; Insecta; Hymenoptera; Encyrtidae.
UUUCCCUCAGGAUAGCUGGCACUCGCUCUCUUAGCGAGUCUCAUCUGGUAAAGCGAAUGAUUAGAGGCCUUGGGGCCGAAACGACCUCAACCUAUUCUCAAACUUUAAAUGGGUGAGAUCUCUGGCUUGCUUGAACAUUGAAGCCAUGAGAUAUUGAUGGAUCAGAGUGCCAAGUGGGCCAAUUUUGGUAAGCAGAAACUGGGCUGUGGGA